Molecule: non-coding RNA, 241 nt
Organism: Pelobates cultripes (western spadefoot toad)
Lineage: Eukaryota; Metazoa; Chordata; Amphibia; Anura; Pelobatidae
Source: the annotation of a GenBank genome assembly
UCAGACUGGAACUGCUGCAAAGCCACUGCCGCAGAGACAAACUAGGAAAGGCAGAUGGAUUACUGUAGGAUCUGGUAGACUUAGAGUUGUGGAUAAAAGGCAUUUUGCACAGUCUGUUGCUCUUCAUAAUUCAUUUUCUGCACUUUCAGAGUGUAAUGGUGUUGUGGAGAGAGGCACUGAGGCUAGUGGUGUUGUGGAGAGAGGCACUGAGGCUAGUGGUAUUGUGGAGAGAGGCACUGAG